GAUGAAGAACGUAGCGAAAUGCGAUAAGUAGUGUGUAUUGCAGAAUUCAGUGAAUCAUCGAAUCUUUGAACGCACAUUGCGCCCCUUGGUAUUCCAUGGGGCAUGCCUGUUCGAGCGUCAUUUGUACCUUCAAGCUUUGCUUGGUGUUGGGUGUUUGUCUCGCCUUUGCGUGUAGACUCGCCUUAAAAUAAUUGGCAGCCGGCGUAUUGAUUUCGGAGCGCAGUACAUCUCGCGCUUUGCACUCAUAACGACAGCGUCCAAAAGUACAUUUUACACUCUUGACCUCGGAUCAGGUAGGGAUACCCGCUGAACUUAAGCAUAUCAAUAAGCGGAGGA
Molecule: unclassified non-coding RNA, 336 nt
Filed under: soil metagenome
Description: partial contains 5.8S ribosomal RNA, internal transcribed spacer 2, and large subunit ribosomal RNA
Rfam family: 5.8S ribosomal RNA (bases 1-120)
Source: RNAcentral